Non-coding RNA from Potamilus streckersoni, 73 nucleotides. The record is from the annotation of a GenBank genome assembly. Lineage: Eukaryota; Metazoa; Mollusca; Bivalvia; Unionida; Unionidae.
UCCCCAGUGGCCUAGUGGUCAGAGCAUCCGCCUCGGAUGCUGGAGGUUGUGGGUUCUAUCCCCGGCUGAGUCA